RNA transcript from Eriocheir sinensis (Chinese mitten crab), 2019 nucleotides. It is a transcript of the gene named protein salvador homolog 1-like, with no coding region annotated. The record is from RefSeq and is a predicted model, not a curated record. The transcript is spliced from 3 exons. Lineage: Eukaryota; Metazoa; Arthropoda; Malacostraca; Decapoda; Varunidae.
GAAUACCAAUAUGGCGGAGAAGUCGCUUCAACAAACAUCGCUGUGCCAUAACGAUACUUGAGAAAAACAACACAAUCCAAGUCCUUGUAAUGGUCUUUGUUUUUCUUCGUCUGUGUUUAUUUUCCUGGCAAAGGUAAACAAACCCGUGGAGAGGCGGUGCGGCGGGGACGUCUGCAGUUAUGUGCCCGAGUGUGACACACAUCACAGAGAGGGAGCCAAGGUGUUCUACUGACUGGGCUGUCCCCUGUUGCUGCAUCCACCAUGCUGUCCAAUUCCCGUAAAAAGGACAUAACAGCAAGUUGUGACAGCCUGGCAGGAAAAUACAUCAAGAAGGAAUCCCCUCCCGAAGUUCCGAUCAUAAAUGUAUGGCCAAAUGCAAGCCAGAGUGACACAAGAAAGCGGAAAAGCACUAUUGCUCCACCAUAUGUGAGCAGCACCAAUCCACCUUCCCAUCAGUCCUCACCCCUGCUCCAGAAAUACUCAACAGGGUCAAGAUCACCCAUGGUGGGAAAGCCUCAUGGAGGAACAGAAGGAAAAUACACUCCCAAUGUUGGAGAAGUGGUACAGCGCAUGGGUGGCCUUUACCUGGGGAGUCGAGGCAGUUUGGAUGGCAUGCUAAAACAACAGGCACCUCCUCCACAAGCUGUGUUCAAUCACACAUAUAUCAACCAUUAUACUGGCUCCCAGCAUAGUCUGGAUCAAAUAUUAUAUGGUCCCAGUCACAUUAGAUCUCCAUUAGAACAACCACCACAGCAAGGAACCAAUUUUACUUUCUUGGUUCACUCUGGACAAAAGCAGUUGUCUCAGUCAAAUACUCACCUGGGAAGUGGAUCUCCUCAGCCUCCCUCCCCAAGACUAGAGCAAGAGCUCCCACUUCCUCCUGGUUGGUCAGUUGACUAUACCCUACGGGGACGCAAAUAUUACAUUGACCAUAACACAAAAACUACACAUUGGUCACAUCCCUUAGAAAAGGAGGGACUUCCCGCAGGAUGGGAGCGAAUUGAGUCUCUAGAACAUGGAGUAUAUUAUGUCAAUCACAUCACCCGUCAGGCACAAUAUGAACACCCAUGUGCACAGCAGUACCUUCCUAGAAUUCCAGAAAAUACUGCCAUAGGGCCACAUAGGGCUCUUCCCAUUCCACACCACACAGAUUUUCGUCAGCCUCUCUCUCUAAUGCCUGCCUCUCCAUACCUACAUGAAGAGAUCCCAUACUGGCUGCGAGUCUACUCCCAAGCCUCCCCAGACCAUGAUCAUAAGUUAAGGUGGGAGCUGUUUCGGCUCCCUGAACUGGACUGUUACCAGGCCAUGCUCAAUAGACUUUUCAAGCAUGAGCUUCAUGGGAUCGUUAUGAGCUAUGAAAUGUAUCGAAUAGCUUUGACCCGGGAGAUCGAGCGCAGAAUGCAGCAGAUGAAUAUAACUACAGGCGGAGGAAGGAGUGGCAGUGGUGUGACCAUCACUGAAAUUACAGAUGAAGAUGACCGUGGAGAACACAUCACCACGCCAGAACAUUUCAAACAACAGAUACUAAAUGCUGACAACUUGUUUGAAUCAAAAGUGUAAUUGAGUUUUGCUCUCUUUACUGCCUGCUCCUAGUGAAUAAGUCAUCAUAUUUUUGCCAAAAUUAUUUUUAAUGAGGCAGCUUUUCAUCAUGGGAAACUGUUAAUGUUGGUAUAGUCUUUGCCUGUGAUUUCUAGAUAUACUGAGAUGUAUGGCUGUGCAUAGCAAAGUAUUAGAAUUUUUGGCAUUGCACUUGUCUCUGAUUCUCUCACCAAAGAAGGCAUAAUAUCUCAUUCUAUAAAAAAGAUGUCUGCUUUUCACUGCUUCUUGUAUUAGUGUCAAUGUGACCUGUCCAGAGUGCACCGUUUGAUGAUGUUUCAGGGAAAAGGGUAUAUCAUCUGUAGGUUGAAAGCACCUGAGAACUUCAGAUCUAACAGAAAUCACCACUGGAGUUACAAGCCUCUUCCCCAAGCAUUGACUAAAGUAACUUUUAUCCAUCACAAAAGACCUGGAAAAAAUUCA